Molecule: ribosomal RNA, 394 nt
Filed under: uncultured bacterium
Lineage: Bacteria
Description: bacterial SSU rRNA
Rfam family: Bacterial small subunit ribosomal RNA
Source: RNAcentral
AGUGAACGCUGGCGGCAGGCCUAACACAUGCAAGUCGAACGGCAGCACGGCAGUAGCAAUACUGUGGGUGGCGAGUGGCGGACGGGUGAGGAAUACAUCGGGAUCUACCCUGUUGUGGGGGAUAACGUAGGGAAACUUACGCUAAUACCGCAUAAGAACUGAGGUUGAAAGCGGCGGACCGCAAGGCGUCGCGCGAUUGGAUGAACCGAUGUCCGAUUAGCUAGUUGGCGGGGUAAAGGCCCACCAAGGCGACGAUCGGUAGCUGGUCUGAGAGGACGACCAGCCACACUGGAACUGAGACACGGUCCAGACUCCUACGGGAGGCAGCAGUGGGGAAUAUUGGACAAUGGGGGGCAACCCUGAUCCAGCCAUGCCGCGUGAGUGAAGAAGGCCU